Long non-coding RNA from Pezoporus flaviventris, 392 nucleotides. RefSeq lists it as uncharacterized. NCBI's taxonomy places the organism in Eukaryota, Metazoa, Chordata, Aves, Psittaciformes, Psittacidae. The record is from RefSeq and is a predicted model, not a curated record. The transcript has 3 exons.
UACAGGGGGAGUGUCCUUUGAGCACAUCCCUCCCAUAAGACCCUCAGUCAUAUUAGAAACGUCCUGAGCCCCAGCAGGUCUGGGGUGGCCCAAGCCUCUGACUUCCCUGAGAUUUGCUGUGGAUUGGCCUGGGUUUUACUGCUCUCUUCUCCUCUCGCCCUUCCUGCAGCCCUGAUGCGGAGUUCUGUGGCUACUGUAUCACACACCCCUCUGAAAGCAAGAUCAGCUUCCGGAUCCAGACCAGAGGGGCCCUUCCUGCUGUUGAGCCAUGCCAGAAAGGAAUGAAUGACCUGAUGGGUGUUUGCUAACAUGUACUCAACACCUUUGAGAGGAGCAUGAAGGAGUACAGGGCCCAGAGGAGGAAGAGAUACAGUAGCAUUUGGGGAUGGCAG